CACGUCAGCGUGAGUUGCUGACAUGGCAACAAAUCGCGCCCUCUAGGAUGACGAUUUGUGCCAAGUGUGAUUUGUUGCCAUGUCAGCAACUCGCGCUGACGUGG
This is a non-coding RNA of Gossypium raimondii (Peruvian cotton), 104 nucleotides long. Lineage: Eukaryota; Viridiplantae; Streptophyta; Magnoliopsida; Malvales; Malvaceae. The record is from Rfam.